GAUGAACGCUGGCGGCGUGCUUAACACAUGCAAGUCGAACGGUAAGGCCCAACCUUGCUUGGGUGCUCGAGUGGCGAACGGGUGAGUAACACGUGGGUAAUCUGCCCUGCACUUCGGGAUAAGCCUGGGAAACUGGGUCUAAUACCGGAUAGGACCAUGGCUUGGAUUCCAUUGUGGAAAGUUGUGUCGGUGUGGGAUGAGCUCGCGGCGUAUCAGGUCGUUGGGGGGGUAAAGGCCUACCAAGGCGUCGACGGGGAGCCGGCCUGAGAGGGUGUACGGCCACAUUGGGAGCGCGAUAUGGCCCAGGCGCCAGCGGGGGGCAGUAGUGGGGAAUAUUGGACAAUGUGAGCCAGCCUGACGCAGUGAGGCCGCGUGGGGGAUGAGUGGCUUCGGGUUGUAGACUCCUUUCGCUAGGGAAGAAGCGUUUUUGUGACGGUACCUGGUGAAGAAGCACCGGCUAACUACGUG
RNAcentral lists this ribosomal RNA (468 nucleotides) under uncultured bacterium. RNAcentral's name for it is "partial 16S ribosomal RNA". It matches the Rfam family "Bacterial small subunit ribosomal RNA", at positions 28 to 507 of the family's 1533-position model. The record is from RNAcentral.